Molecule: long non-coding RNA, 4157 nt
Filed under: Homo sapiens (human)
Lineage: Eukaryota; Metazoa; Chordata; Mammalia; Primates; Hominidae
Description: HSALNT0150838
Source: RNAcentral
AUUCUUCAAUGGAGGUGCUCUUUUGCCAAGUUCACCACCUUAUCUAAGUAUCUGUAUUGACUAAAUCAAGGCAAGUACAGAUGACAAUUGGACCUGUUAAAGCAAUAGUCAGUCACUAAGAAUGAUGCAAACCAGCAAAAAUGAAAUGACCCUUUCUUCAAAGCUUUUCAGAAGGAAUAACAAAGAGGUUCAUCCAACAGAAAUAAUCUGUGGCAUUUUAUUUGCAAAAGCAACAGAAAAUUAUGGUCUGUGGUAGUAAAUAAAUGCAUCACACAUUCCUCUGGUAUAUAGAAGUGUAAAUCUUUCUACAAAGAGACUAAUCAGAAGAGGGAGGUUCAGAAGAGUAGGGAAACCAUGUCUAUAUAUAAAUCCCCUGAGAUAUUAUCGAAUACUCAUACCCAGUUGGCUUCAUAAAAAGUGCAUCUAAAUGUUCUGUGGUUGUCACAUCACCCUGAAGGACCUCUUCACCAUCUAUGAGACUGAAGAUAUCAUAUCGCCUCUCUACACCCUAGCCAUUGGGCAUGAAACCAGGAUCCUUGGAUAGUUUCCAGGAGAUAUAAACCUGAAAGCACUUGUCUUAUCCCUCAUCUAGAGACAUUUAUUUGAAUGCCAAAGACUUGAGCCUCUCCUGUGCAGAAAAUUAGGACAACAUCUGAGGAGGGCUAGGACAAGGAUAACUGUCCACCAGGGACCAAGCUAAGAUUGGUGGUGCACUGAAUGCCAGACUUGGGAGGAUUUGAGCAUCUCCCUGCCUUCAGUUCUUCCGUGACAAUAUUUUAGUGUCUGGCUCACUUUUUUGAUCAAAGAAGAUCAUUUACUGGGACUUCAGAAUGAAGACAGGAUCCCACUGUGUCACCCAGGCUGAAGUGCAGUGGCACCAUUAUAGCUCACUGCAGCCUUGAACUCUUGGGCUCAAGUGAUCCUCCUACCUCAGCCUCCCGAGUAGCUGGGACUACAGAAAUGUCAAUUGCCUACCUGAUGGCUGUGAAAAACAGAAAGAAGAAACAAAGACAUAUCUGUAUGUAAAGGUUGAGCUUGAAAAAAGAAAACUACUCUUGACGCUGAAGAACGCAAUCCAACAUGAAAGAAUGCUUAUUUCAAGUUUUACCUGAAUCUACCUAGAGCUGAAUUUCUUAUCUAUACUUUACUACAGAUAUUCUGCUUUGUGCAGAUCUACAAUGGAUCAUUAAAGUCAAAGGACAAUUACUUAUCUUUCUACUCCUCCCAGUACCCAAGACCUGAGAGUGAGAUAUUAAAUUCGUCCUUAGAUCUUUCAUGCAAUGUUACAGCUCUUUGGAACUCCUCAUGAAGCUCCUCCUCUCCAUGGUGGAAUUUUACUCUGAGGAGAGAUAGGCUAAAAUGUUUCAGUCCCCUAUAUGAUAAGUCCAAAAUCACCGUUUCACAUAUAUGCUGACCUGAUACAUUGAGUCACUGAUACGUGUCUUUCCACCUUCAGUAUAUUUUCUUUGACUAGCUUUAUUGCUUCCCUGUGAUGCUGAAUUUUGAGCAUGGAUGUGUGUGUCCAUAACAAAACCAUCCUAGGUAAACUGAAUUUGGUUAUUUGAAUUUCAUAAUUACUCUUUACUCCAAGUGUUGUGGAUUCAUGAUGCAAAUUUACCCAUUCCCAUUGCAAUAACUUAGAGCCAAAUAUCAAUUAUUUUAAAACUUGGUUCUCAUCACUGAACUAACAGUGUUGAAAAAGACAAUUUGCCUAUAUUUAAUAGUUUGCUAGUAAACUUUAUUUUGGGUUACAUCAAACUUGUAAUAAGUAGUGACUGGAUUGGGAAGGUGAGGUGUGCUGAUUUAAGGAUGCCUCUCCAUCUAUUUUAUGUGCUAGAAAAUAGGUAGCAAAAAAUAAAUCUUGCAGUACUCUCUUUUGAUUAACUACACAUUUUCCAUCUUGGAGUAAAAAGUAAUUAUGAAAUUCAACUCUAAUUGUAUAGUUUUUCUGUGUAAAAUAACUGAUGAAAAUAGAAUAAUUUAGAUGCUUUUUCUUUUAUUUUUUAUAGUAUUGAAUAGUGGAGCAUAACAAAUAGUACCUUCAGUUUGCUUUCUCUGGAAAAAAAUGAUUUGGUAAGAUUUUACAUGUCCCACAAAUGCUCUUAAACAAAAGAUAUGUCCCCAAGUGGACAACAGAUAAGUUUUUAUUUUAAAAAGGAAAGGAAGAAAUGUAUAUUUCUAGAAUUUUCUAGCUUAUAAGAAAAAUAAGGAGAAAUCUUCUAAUGGCUGGUUGGCAGCUAACUCUCCAGUUCCUCUACAGUGUGCAAAUUAUAUUAAAUGAAUUCAUUGCAUUAAUGAAGACAAACUUCACUGAUAUUUGAACAAUGAAUAUAAAUGGUUUGGAAUCAAGAAUUACCUUUAUUCAUUAUCAACAAUUAUCAGACAAGACCAGUUUCCAAAUAACAUUUUUUCCUAAAUUAACAGGAUGACCACACAUCUAGAUGGUUGUUGUAUGUGAGGACAGAGACAUCGCCAAAGGUCUGUGAAGGACUAACUGCUAUAGGAAUAGGCCAUAACUAGAGACCAGAAAAAAAAAUUUACAAGAGUGUUCAGACUUCUAGGAGCAUGAAAUUGUGAUAGAAGAAAACGUAUGAAUUGACCAUUACCGUUACCAUUACCCUAGCUUGAUUACUGAAGCAGAGGCCAGGGGUAGAAACUCAAGCAGAGCCAUGUAAUCCCACAGAGUUAAGGAGACAGGGAUCAAGGCACUGGAAAGCUGGAGUGUCAAGAACUUAUGGGGAAAAAUAUGAGAGCAGAAGCUGCACGAUGAGAAGGGUUCAAAGACCUGCAGAAGGUUAAAAAAACAAAAAAAAAACAUGAGUUUUUAGCUGAGCAUUGAUCUGCAUAAAUGUUGGAUAAAAUGUCAUGAAGUUCUAGAAAGAACAAUAGGAAAAGCCAGAGGGUAAAGAAUUUUUGGAAUUCACACAGAAAGAUGGAAAUAAUUUGUAUUCUCAAGAGCAGACAGGAGAGACCUAAUUCAUAGGGGAAUUGGGUAGAGUACUCAGAAACAUUGGGCCUUGGUAAUAAAGGAGAAUUAGCCUUAAAACCAAGGUUCCUCUGAACACAUUAGCAAAGGUUAAAACAAUGGAUACACAUGGACAUCAAGAUGGAGCUAAUAGACAUUGGAAACUACAAAAUGGGGGAGAGUGAGAGCAGAUGAGAGUGGAUAAAUUACUGAUUGGGUAAAAAGUUCAAAAAACAAAAACAAAGGUCAAAAAGAAGCCUUGAAAGGUAAUCAACAUCAUUAAUCAUCAGAGAAAUGCAAAUCAAAACCACCAUGAGAUGUCAUCUCAUACCUGUUAGGAGAUGAUUUAACUUGUUAUCAAAGUGAAAGGAUAACAAAUGUUGGCAAGGAUGUGUAGAAAAAAGAACUCUUAUAUAUGGUUGAUGGAAUGUAAAUUUGAUACAGUCAUUAUGGGAAAGAGAAUAGAGUUUUCUAAAGCAAUUAAAAAUAAAACUACCAUAUGAUUCAGUAAUCUCUCUUCUGGGAAUAUACCCAAAGGAAAUGAAAUCAUCACCUCAUAAAAAUGUCUGCACUCCCAUGUUCAUUGCAGCAUUAUUCAUAAUAGCUAAGAUAUGGAAAAGCCUAACUGUCCAUCAAGGGAUGAAUGGAUAAAGAAACUGUGGUAUAUUUCUAUAUAUCCCAUAAAAAUAAUAAUGAAAUAUUAUUCAGCCCUAAAAAAGAACAAGAUCUUCUCAUUUAACACAACAUAGAUGAGACUGGAGGACAAUGAAAUAAACCAGACAAAGAAAGAAAAGUAUUACAUGAUUGAUUUCACUUAAAUGAGGAUUCUUAAAAACUCAAAUAUAGAAAGAGAACAAAACAGUGGUUCUGGGGCAGAGGAGGAAGGGAGAAAAUUGGGAGAUAUAAGUCAGAGGAUACAAAGUAUAAGAUAUAUACCAUGAACAAGUCUAGAGGUCUAAUAUACAACAGGAGGACUAUAGGAAAUAAAAUUUUACCAUACAUGGAAUUCAUGCUAAAUGAAUAGAUUUUAACUGUUAUUGCCAUAAAAACAAAAACAAAAAAUGGGUAACUAUGUGAGAGGAUAGAUAUGUUCAUUUGUUCCACUAUGGUAACUUUUUACAAUCUACAUAUAUUUCAUAACAUCACAUUGUAUACCUUAAAUAUACGUAAUAAAAUUUAUUUUAAAACAAAG